Molecule: ribosomal RNA, 503 nt
Filed under: Colletotrichum gloeosporioides
Lineage: Eukaryota; Fungi; Ascomycota; Sordariomycetes; Glomerellales; Glomerellaceae
Description: eukaryotic LSU rRNA
Rfam family: 5.8S ribosomal RNA (bases 184-337)
Source: RNAcentral
AGGGAUCAUUACUGAGUUUACGCUCUACAACCCUUUGUGAACAUACCUAUAACUGUUGCUUCGGCGGGUAGGGUCUCCGCGACCCUCCCGGCCUCCCGCCUCCGGGCGGGUCGGCGCCCGCCGGAGGAUAACCAAACUCUGAUUUAACGACGUUUCUUCUGAGUGGUACAAGCAAAUAAUCAAAACUUUUAACAACGGAUCUCUUGGUUCUGGCAUCGAUGAAGAACGCAGCGAAAUGCGAUAAGUAAUGUGAAUUGCAGAAUUCAGUGAAUCAUCGAAUCUUUGAACGCACAUUGCGCCCGCCAGCAUUCUGGCGGGCAUGCCUGUUCGAGCGUCAUUUCAACCCUCAAGCUCUGCUUGGUGUUGGGGCCCUACAGCUGAUGUAGGCCCUCAAAGGUAGUGGCGGACCCUCCCGGAGCCUCCUUUGCGUAGUAACUUUACGUCUCGCACUGGGAUCCGGAGGGACUCUUGCCGUAAAACCCCCAAUUUUCCAAAGGUUGACC